This 360-nucleotide ribosomal RNA is filed under the name uncultured bacterium. RNAcentral's name for it is "bacterial SSU rRNA". It matches the Rfam family "Bacterial small subunit ribosomal RNA", at positions 8 to 350 of the family's 1533-position model. The record is from RNAcentral.
AGAGUUUGAUCAUGGCUCAGGACGAACGCUGGCGGCGUGCUUAACACAUGCAAGUCGAGCGGGGAUUAUGGUGGAAAUUCUUCGGGAUGGAAGCUGUAAUUCUAGCGGCGGACGGGUGAGUAACGCGUGAACAAUCUGUCCCAGACAGGGGGAUAACAGAUGGAAACAUCUGCUAAUACCGCAUAAGACCACGGGGUCGCAUGGCCCUGAGGUAAAAGGAGCAAUUCGGUCUGGGGUGAGUUCGCGUCCGAUUAGCUAGUUGGCGAGGUAACGGCCACCAAGGCGACGAUCGGUAGCCGACCUGAGAGGGUGAUCGGCCACAUUGGAACUGAGAGACGGUCCAAACUCCUACGGGAGGCA